Molecule: small nucleolar RNA, 136 nt
Organism: Acomys russatus (golden spiny mouse)
Lineage: Eukaryota; Metazoa; Chordata; Mammalia; Rodentia; Muridae
Product: small nucleolar RNA SNORA42/SNORA80 family
Exons: 1
Source: RefSeq, a predicted model, not a curated record
GCAUGGAUUUGGAUUUAUGGCAGGCUUGUCACCCUGGGUCUCUCAUAGCAUACCAUGCUACAGCACACUAUGUCUCCCAACCAUUGCCUGGCCUCUGUGCCUGUAGAUUGCUGGCACUGAAGUGGGUCCCCCAAUG